RNAcentral lists this unclassified non-coding RNA (270 nucleotides) under Hevea brasiliensis (rubber tree). The record is from RNAcentral. Lineage: Eukaryota; Viridiplantae; Streptophyta; Magnoliopsida; Malpighiales; Euphorbiaceae.
UGCCAGUAAAUAGAUAGACUUGAAAAAACCACACUACGAAAAUGAAAAUAGCCAGAAGUAAAAUACCAAGAGUACAGAGAUCUCAUCUCUAACCUCCAAACAUCUAAUAAACAAAUUCUAAGAAAUUAUUCGUAUGCAGAACCCAUUCACAUCAGAAAACUUCAAAAAUACCUCUGGUUUCAGGGCUCGUUCCCGAACAGGAAGCCAUCAACAAUUGCAGAGUCCCAGUAGUAUGCUGAUUAAAAGAGAGAGAGAGAGAGAGAGAGAGAG